Bombus pyrosoma is the source of this 3895-nucleotide long non-coding RNA. RefSeq lists it as uncharacterized. The transcript is spliced from 5 exons. Lineage: Eukaryota; Metazoa; Arthropoda; Insecta; Hymenoptera; Apidae. The record is from RefSeq and is a predicted model, not a curated record.
AAAAAGAGCGUUACAUUAAAUUAUAUGUAGAUUUUGUAAUAACGGUAACUAAUUAUUAAACUGCGGACAUUUAUACAUUUAGGAGAAAUUUAAAAGUGCAAAAUGUAUGCACAGAAUGUAUAGAACGUACAAAAGUAUAUAAAAUAUUGGAUUGUUAGAAAAAUUCGUAACGAGUGUUAAGAAACAUUUAACUAGAAUUAGACUUUCUAUCAUAUUUUUCCUGACAAACUGUCUUCUUACGUAUGAAUUCAUUCAAACAGCUUUUAUACCGGAUUCCAGAAUAUUUCACGAAUUUUUGACCGUGCAACACGUAGGAGACAUGGAACGAGGAAAAAAUGAGAUUUAAUUUAAAGAGAUUUUGAAUCUCGUCUGUAUCAUUUCCAACGGUCGUUAAUAGCAAUCGAAUGAUGGGGGCGCUGCACGCACAACGUUCUCUUUCAUUUACGCGCUAUUACGCAAACGAUACAUUUCCCGCAAUCUUUUUGAUCUAAACGCCACAUAAAGGCCCGAGUAUUGAGAUACAAAGGUAAUGUUUUCUUUUUUCCGUCUCAUAGUUAUCAAUCGAAUUGAUUCAGCAAUUGGUAUAUUUUCGUUUCGCUGGGUCAUUGUACUAAGUAAAAUCGUCACAGAUAUAUCGUAGCUAAAAAUACGUUGGUACUUAAAAAGAUAAGUAGCAUUUCGGCUAAAAAUAACUGAAACCAAAAUUAUCUAUUGAAAACGAGAAAUAAAGAGACAGUUACUUAACAGAUAGGAUGCUUCUUGUAACUGGAUCAAGCCAUAAUUUUAAAAUAUGUAAUAAGCAAUGUAAUGAAGCUUUCAUUGAGCAAAAUUAAAUGUUUUCGCGUAGUGCGUCAUGUAAUUAUACGGAAGUGAAGGUGUUUCGAAGAUUUCAAAGUAAUUUCCAUUUUUUAAAAUUGUAUAUGCUUUCAUAUACAAUUGGAUUGGUAAUUUAUUUUAGUGAGUUUCAGAGACCAAUUAUGUACUUGCAUGUGAAACCAGUUUUUUUCGCGUAACUAUUCCCGCUAAUUCAACCUUGACUGUGGUGUUGUUGAACAAAAAAAAAAAAAAAAAAAAAAUUUGUGGAGAUUGGACCAAGAUAAACAACGAGAGAAAAAGAGAUUCUUCUCCAAGCACUUCGACAAUGUUAUUUUUUUUCGAAUUAUAAACAUGCUCAAAAGUAUUCGAACUAUGUUCCUCUUUAUAAAUAUCGAAAGAUAACUUCAACAACGAAUUAUAUACACACUACAAUGUUUGGAUUCUUUCAUAUGUGAAUUGCAAAUGUAGUAUAGUGUACAUUAAUCAUCAGAGGUCUAUCCAUGGGUACAAAGUAUAACUGCAUCUUAUGAAAAAGUGUAUGGCAUUGAUUAGAGGCAGCGAAAAAGUCAAAUGAAUUCUAAUAACACUCUUGAAAUUAAUUCAUAGAUUGUCAUAAAUAUAAAAAGAAAAGUUCUUUUAUGUAUAGAAAAUAAAAAGAGAAAUUCCUUUAGGUAUAGUUUCCUACGAAUAUCUAUUGGAAACAUUUACAAUGAAAUUUUCCGUAAAAAGACCAUAACGAAUUGCCUACAAUGCCAUUGGGUAUGUUGCAACUAAUAUAGUUCAGAGAUACGUGCCAAUAUCACUAAAAAUACAGGGACCGUAGAACGCAUAGAGAGCUUGCUGUUACGGCUCACACACGAAAUUAAAUAUUCACGCUGCUAAAUCAGAGUGAUAUGUCAACAAAUUGCAACUGUAUUUACCAUUUUGGAGCAGUUUGGAGGAGUGUGCGGUUGAACGCGCGAACUCAUAACGAAGAUCAACAAUCUACACUCUUCACGGAAUAAAGGAAAAAAAAAUAAGAAGAAUCAGAUGAAAAAGCACUUUUCGAGUUGAAGACACCAGUAUUUAGUCUAAUAUUACGAUAAUGAAAAGAUUGGAUAACGAAAUAUGUACUUGGCAUACAACUAAAUUACGUUAAAUGACAGCAGUGAAAGACGCCAGUAUACUGAAUAAGAACGCCGCGAAACGGCAUCGACAAACAUCAACGACAAACCACGAAGUUAGCCGACGAUCGCCGAACAUUUUCGGUCAUCUGUGGAUCAAUUAUUUUCAAAUGAAGCUAUAUAUUACAAGGAUCGCGUGUAUUUGAUUUGAGGAAUAAAGAGACGCACUUUGAAGGAAUAAAAAGAUCAUUAUUUUCAAUGUAGUGAAUAGAUCAGUAUAAUAAGUCAGGAACAGGAUUUUCAUUAGAUAUCAUAAAUAAAGUUCUUUUAAAUUUAAAAUUGCGUACCCAUUAUGGGAAACAUAGGUUUCAAGUUAUACAGUACGUAUUUAUUUAUUUUUUAACGUUAAUUUUUAAUCAUAUAUAAAUACAAUAUCUAUUAGUUUCACUUAAUUUUUCUUAAAUGUAUUCUCGGAAUUUUUAAGGAUUUUCAAAGAUAAAUUAAAAGCAAUCACGUAUCUUCUUGCAACAGUAAUUGCAACAGCUUCGUUUACAUCAUACAUCUACAUCAAAGAACGGGUGAAAAUGUAAACUAAUAUUUGACCGAUGUUAAAACAAGUUUAUCGUCCUUUUAACGAUUUGUAAACAUUUUUAACACCUUAAAUUUUGUAACUACGUAUAAAAGACUCAUCAAGCGGAUAAUAGGAAAACAUAUACAGUAACUAUAAGUUGCAAUAGAAAGUUAAUUUAUGAUAUAGAAAUUUUCGAAAGCUUCAUUCUGAAAUACAAGGCUCAUAAAGAAGUUAUAGACACGAAAUAAUUUCCGCUAAAGAAAACUGGGGAGCAAUAUAGCUGGUAGGUAAUUUUACUUAUGGGCUUCUCCUCAUGGCAAGCGUCCAGGAUCAUUUCCAUCGAAGAGAAACGCGUCGCCCGCAGUCAUGGUCAGGGUAUCCCUAACCUACUUGUAUUGCUACCGACUGAUCUAUUUAAAACCUGAUCCCUACAGUGAAAAUUCACUUUGAAAUGAAACUGUUCACUUGUUUUGAUAUUACCCUCGUUUCGACCGACAUCAGGCGUGUGACUAACAUGUUGAUAAAUUACUGAUCAAAAACAAAUAUAGUAUACUCAGAAUGGUUUCUAUUCUCUUUCUGAAGUAUGAGAAUUUUACGUCAUAUUUAUAAUACCUCUCUUUUAUAUAAUUGUCUAGAAAAUUAUCUGGAUGAUUAUUUAUAAACUUAUUUAUUAUCUAUCACUACUAUUAUUUAAUUACUCAUAGAAGUAAACAUUACCUAAAAAUCUGCCUACAGAGAUUUUGGCGAACUUGUCCUUGAUCGAAACAAAAACUCUUAACUGCGAGAUUGAUUUACAAGAAACCGUUCCAAUAUAAGGUACCUAAGCUUGAUUUAUCGCAGUUCGCAGGAAUUCCGCCUGAAAAAUCAAUCGCCCCGAGGGAACGACAAUUUUAGAAUACAUUCUUAUACCGUUUUAAAGAUAUCCAAUAAUAACCAUGGAAAAAUAUUUUAAUCCCUAGAUAUAAAAUUUACUUAGCUAAAUAUAACAAUCAUAAAGUUUCACGUAACUUAUCCGCUUUUGUUCUCUACUAUUUUACCCAACUUAGAGGAUUAUUAUAUUGACUACAAAUUAAGUAAGCCAACAAAGAGCAUAUUCUGCAGGAGCAAAAGGGUUUCAUAAUAUAGAUGAAACAAUUAAUUAGUCGGCAAUGCACAUUGAAGAAGUGUGAUGCGCGUAAAGAUUAAUUGCAAGAAAUCGUACCGAGUUGUUAAGCCCAUUACCUCGAGAUAUGAAUGUCCUAGAAUCUCAAUUAAUAACGUCAUUCGUUUGUGCGCCGCCUUUUCGUUAUAGAAUUUCUGCGAAUUUUCAAUGGGAAGUUCUUAUUUUCUUAUUAUUGCAUUCCUUGUGUUCAUAACAGAUUAUUCACGGUAUCCUGUUAUUACCUGGGAAUCAUUGACUGCACGC